CCUCACAAUCAAGGACAAAUUCCUGAAUGCAACAUUUGCUUUUCCGUCUUCCCGCUUCACCUCACUCAUCCCUGCAGAAGUACAAGUAUUCCUGGCUUCUUCAAGUCUACGCCUAAGAAUUAAGAGCCUUGGGGAGAAGGGCACUGCAUCGACCACUGCAUCUCAAUCAUUGUGGCAGACGUACCACAGCACUGGGAAGCUGGCCUUGGCAAGAAUCUCAGGCUAUUACUACAGAGUUGGGAAGAAGGUUUAGGAUCAAGAUAGAGGUGACUGACCAAGCAUUUCUCCUUGUUGCCGCCAUGUGAAGAAGGACGUGUUUGCUUCCCCUUCUGCCAUGAUCAGAAGUUUCCUGAGUCCUCUCCAGCCAUGCUGAACUAAAACAUGUCCCAAUCCCUGGUGUUGAGGAUUCUCUGGGGAGAAGACUCACCGUGAAGACCUUCUCAGGCUGACCCCGGGCUCUCAUGUUGGUGUCAUGAAUUAACUUCAGAAUCAUCCAAGCUUCAUCAUGUUUUCCAACCUAAGAAAUGAGAGUGGACAGUGAAGCGCUAGGAGUGACACACUUACCCUCCCUGAUUUUCCAAUAGCCGUCUUGCAUUGUCAGAUCAAAUGAGGUGUAAUUGUGCAAAUGUAUCUCAGUACAUCCCAUUGGAACAUACAGACUAUUUGGAUAUCACUGAAUACAUGAGCAGUUCAAAUAAUAUGGUUAUAACUAGAAAUAGUAUCUCCAGAUGGUAAAAUUUCGCUAUAAAACAAUAA
Long non-coding RNA from Homo sapiens (human), 756 nucleotides. Lineage: Eukaryota; Metazoa; Chordata; Mammalia; Primates; Hominidae. The record is from Ensembl.